Molecule: long non-coding RNA, 14196 nt
Filed under: Nicotiana benthamiana
Lineage: Eukaryota; Viridiplantae; Streptophyta; Magnoliopsida; Solanales; Solanaceae
Description: long non-coding RNA (NBEN_LNC027513)
Source: RNAcentral
UAAUACACAAAAAACCUAGGGACUAAUGAGUGAAAAACACAAAAUAUAACCCUAGACUCUCCACCUAUAAAAGCUAAUACUAUGAGCCGCAAUAGAAAAAAAAGGCCCUCCGCCGGUCGAUCUUCAUCCUCCUCAGAGUGAAGUAGCCAUUUUUCAUGGCUUCCUCUUAAGAUAGAACACAUUCCCUGCUUCUUCACCUCCCCUCCAUUCGAACAACCACGCAGGAACGACCCCCUUAUCUAAGCUUCAUCUUCUUUGGCAACAAGAGCCAAAAACACGACCCCUUCCUGGGUCUUCUUCUUCUUCAUUCACUAUCACUCACAGCCCCCCAGAACCCACCUCCAAAGCACCCCAAUUUUAGUGACAAAACAACUCUCAAAACAACCUGACGUAGCUGCUAAAAAGUACUACUCAACUCUACCCAUAUUACCAGCAAGAACAGUCCAAAAAUGAGUUCAAAUCCACCCCUAAACGACCUCAAUACAGCUCUGAUACGAACUGGAAAUCCAGGCUAAAAACAGCUGUAAAUUCCGCCAUGAAACGCCCCUAAACUCCAGCAAAACAAGCUGUGAAAAUAGCUAGGAAAAACAGUUGAAAACUAGCUGCAAAACAACAAAAAAAUGCUGCUAAGAACGGACCCGAAGCAGCUCCAAAAACGGUCGAUAUUAAGUGAAGUUUCUGUUUAAACUUCUGCGAGGUUUUCCGGAAAGGUUUCGAGUUUCGGUCAGUGGUCAAAUUUCUGUGUUCGUUCGAUUCCCGAAGUACAGAUGUAAUAUUUAAAGCAACAUUUCUCAAGAAUGAAAGGUUCAUUUUCUCAUUCACAUCUUUUAUUAGUUAUGUGUGAUUAGUUCUGGUUUUUAGAGUGAUAUUAGUUCCCUAUCCUAUUAUAUUUAUUUGUUUAGUUAUAUGAUACACUACAGUUUUGUGAGGUAUGAAAGCUUGGAUCAGUUUUUUUUUUCUUCCAAAAUUAGGUUUUUGUUUUGAAUGGCUAACACCCUUAAAUAGUGUUAUUAAAAGUCAGAGGCAAUAUGAUGCAAAGCAAGAGAGGUAGGAAAUAUCAACAUAUUGGACGCUAAAAUUAGUAUUUUUAUUGCGAUUUGGUUUUUUGUAGCAUUAUAUUAAUAUAUGUUUGAUAAUUUUUUAAUCUGUCAUUGUGAGAUCGAUCAUUUAAUAAUUAUCUUUAGAAGCACACAUGAAUUCGUGAGUGGUGUUUAAUUUGAUUAAUCUUUAGUCAUUUGCUACAGUGUUAAAGUAGUACCCAUGACAAAUUAGUUAAUUGCUUUAGAAGUAAAAUUUCAACAGUUGUCUUUUUAAGGGGUUCAUUUCCUAAUAGGUUGUGAUUUACCUAGUUUCCAUUUGGAAUUAAAUUGCUUUCUACGUGGGCAUUGAAAUUGAUACAAUAGCUAAUUUGUGAUUUGAAACUAGCUUAUGAAAAAUAAUCCAUGAACAUUGAUAGCUUGUUUUAGGAGUGAUCUAGUCUAUUAUCGUAAUUAUGUAUACGUUCGCAUAACAUAAUUAUGAGUUUUCUAAUAAUAACUCAAGGGAUGCAUUCGUGCAACUUCAACCAAACUUUUUUUUAAAAAAACAAAUAAAGCGUUAUUAAUUUUGAACACGUUCGCGUGACAUAAUUUUCGACGCGCCGAAGGAAAAGAGUAUAAGUAAGCGUAACUCAACUCUUUAACUACGAACAAAUCAAGUAAUUAAAAGCGGUAAAAGAUAAAUGCUCAUAGGUUCUAAAAUGAGUAAUUAAAUAAUUUCAUAAGCCAAGUAUGAUCAAAGCGACCAUGCUAAAGCCACAGAACUCGGGAGUGCCUAAUACCUUCUCCCUGGUUAACAAAAUUCCUUACCCGAAUUUCUGUGUUCGGAGACUGUAAAAUGGAGUCAACCUUUUCCUCAUACCAUUAAUUAUCCCAAGUGGAGAUUCUGAAUUUUUUUAAAAUAAUCUGUUUUGAUUGUCACUUAAAUUGAAAAAAACUCUCUUCUACGUCUUUCGCGGAAUGUAGUGUAAAAAGGAAGUGUGACGGCUCUGGCGACUGCUGGGGAUGGGAACCCAGAAUCUCUAAUUUAGGGUUCAAGAAUUCGAGCUUGUUAAUAUGAUUUUUAUUUGGCUUUAUUUAUUAUUGAUAUUACUGUAUUUUGUGAAUCUUUUUAUGUUAAAGGCUAUCUGUUUACCGCUUUAAUAUUGUUUGAAUUGUAUAUAGCUGUCUUCUUAUGCCACCCAUCUGAGUCUUCUGAAAAUGGUGCACACAUUCACGUGGUCCGCUUUUUUGUAGAAAUUAUACCAAAUAGAACGAGGCUGGGCAAGCGACAAGCUCGGGAAAACUUUAGUGCUCCCCGUACGUUACCCCUUCUUCGUCCCCAGUUGUCCGCUCGGCUACCCAAGUCUAAACAAAAACCUUAGGAUUUAAAACCUAGAAGAACAAAACCUCAUGCCGGGUCCCUAGUAGGAGCGCUUGUUUGCAUCAUGUGCAUUUGACUCAGGGGACUCAACACAGGGGUUGGGUCCGUCUAGGACAGAUGUACCCAAAAUAACAGAUCAUCCUGAUGCAACCUAUGUGCUACAUGUUGCAUUUCUUCAAGGUCAAAAAAGUCAUUUGACGGACCAAUGAAAGUUUAGGGCAAAUGAAAAGAAACAAAAAGGAGAGAGUGACGUGUAAAAAAUAAAGCAAGAAGGACUCGAUUAUGUUUUCUGUCACAUUUUUGCAAAAGAAAUAAAAAAAGAAAAAGAAAAUUCAAAAAAAAUUUGCACUUUCCCAUCAUUUCCCAAUAAAUCAAAAAAAGAGCAAAAAGAAAAUUCAAAUGGAGUUUACAUGUUUCAUCAGUUUUCAAAAGAAAAGACAAAAAAAAAUAUUUUUUAAAAAUUAUUUGUCUUUUUUAAUUCUCACCCAUAUCCAAUCUGCCCGAAUUACGUAUACCUAGUUCUCGUCUUCCCUGGCGUGAUACAUAGGCAACCCACAUAUGGUCCGAUCUUCCUAGUAAAUCUUAGGUUGUUGGCUUUGCGAGGUCUUAGCCAAAUUUUGCACCUCUAGGUACCUUUUAGCCAAAUAAGCCAUUUAGCAAACAGAAUGGCAACCAUGUCUUGCAUGGGUCUAAUAGGGAAUGUUAUUGUCUCACAAAUUGUUGGUUUAAGUUUUCUCAUACAUCGGAAUUUGAGCAUGACAAAUACACUGCCUUCAGAAAUUGGUCAAGGAGAUUUUUAUUAUUUUUUUAUGUCGUCUUUUACUUUCUAGUUUUGUAUAGUAAUGUCGAGUUUUUAUUACCAUUUUAUUUUCUAUUUUGCAUCUGAAAAAUUGUGUUAUAUAUCAAAAAUCCAAUUAAAAAGAUGUUGCAUUUUAUAUUUUCGUUGGAAGUUUUCUUUGAAAUAUUAAUUCUAGGCAUUAAAAAAAUUCAUUUGAGGCGAUUUUUCCUUUAGUUGAAUAUCUAGAACUUAAAAUAAAAUUACUUUUAGUGCAUUAAGAGCAAAAAAGAAAAAACAAUUCAAGAAAAAGAGAAGAGAAUUUUCUUUUAGGACCUCUUUAAGAGUUUUCUUUAAAGAUAUUACUUCCAAAAAUCCAUUAAAAAAAUUCUUUUGAGAUUAUUCUUUUUGAAAUUAAUGAAAAAAUAUAAAAAAAUCUUUUAUUUUACUAAAAUUGUAGGACACUGUACAUAAAAAGAAACAUAUACUUUCUCUUUUGUUUAUUAUUAGAAUUUCUCAUUUAGGUAAUCAAAAUUGAAAGCUAAAAAUAUUUUGUUUUUUUAUUUAUUUCUUGUUUGGAAAACUCGCAUCAGGAUAUCAAAUGAAAUUCAAAUACUUUUAUGUGGCUUAUUCUUUAGAUUUUCUUCCUAAAAGAAGAUUCAAAAAAAUAUUUUUCUCUUAUAGGGUUUUUCCUUAAUAAUUUCUCAUAGAGUGUUUGUUUGAAAAGAAAAAAAAUAGCAAAAAAAAAAUAUAUGCUCGUUAAGCUUGAGUUUGGAAUAGGUUAUAAAAGAUUACAUCUGAAAAAAUUUUAAAAAAAAGGGAGAUUUCUUCUUUUAUUUCUCUUUUCUCAUCAGAGUAGUCAUUAAGGUAAUAAAGAAAAAGAAAAAUGAUAAUGUUAGUUUAUUCACUUUAUUCAUGAUCUUUCAGAACUACGCAAAUAUCUGAUUCAUGCGGGAUCAUGAUACGUAGGCAACCUAUAUAGGGUUUGAUCGAAUCAUUUUUAUUAUUAUUAAAAGAAAAAGAAAGAGAAGAAAAAAAAAGAAAAGAAGGUAAAAUUAUGGGAUGUGAGAAAUGGGAAGGAAGAAAAGAUCGAUAAUCAGAAAAAAAAAAAAGGAAAAUGAGCGAGUUAAGAAGUGCAAGGAAGGAAAAGAAAAGAGAAGACUCAAGUGAACAAAUCGGAAUGAUGCCAUAUGACCUUCAUACCCUCGAAGUCAUGUUAGAACCGAUAACUGUGACUAGGUGCAUUGCACGCAAUAUGAUAUUUUAGUUGUUAAAUGCCCUAACGCUAACGUGAUAACCUUAUUUUGUUCCUUUUGUUAUAAAGCAGAAGGGUGGUUGGUUUGUGAUUUUUAAAGUGGUAAAUCUUCUCUACAACACAAAGUCAAAAGGUAAUGGAAAAAAAGAACAGAAUUGAGUUGGUUGAUACCGGCGCAUACAAGUAGUUGGUUGGAUAGGGAAAUGGGUUGGUUGAAUAGAUAAAGAUGUUAAGACAACACAUGGCGGACAUGUAUCAGGCCUGGAUGGCUGGGAAGGAACCACCCCCGCUACCACCUAGCUUCUUAGAUGCUGCCCUUACCCAAACUCCGGUCAUAGUGCCGGAUGAUACCCCAUAUUCUCCAGAUCCAAUCGUUUAUCACAGCUUUCCCAACCGUCCUAGUAGCUCCAUCACCCAUCCUCCAAUUACAUCUUUCCAAAAUUGCCCUCCUAUAAUAUCUACUAUUGCCGGCAAUGAAUAUCCACUCAACGCUCAUGGUGCCCAAUACUAUGCCGCAGAGGUUGCCCACAAGGCUCUUAACUCAUACAAGAAGAGCCCUCGCGAUGAGCUUCAUGCUAAACAUGAAAAAGUCACAGGAAAAGAAGGGCGAGAUGAGAUAUCCAGGAAGCUGAAAGGCAUAAAAUAGUCCCCAAAGAACAAGCAAUGAAUGGGAGGCCAGAGUAACAUGUCUUACAAGGAAUUGUCAGUGUCCCCUGAGUUCGCCUGCCCGGGGGUUUUAAUGUGCCAAAAUUUAACUUGUAUGAUGGGUGUGGAGAUCUGGUAGCCUACGUGAGUGUUUAUUGCAGUGAAAUGAGAACUGUUGUAGUAAGAGCUUGACUGAGGCAGCUUUGGAACGGCAUAAUCGUCAAGAUGUCGGUAAGUGGCCUACAUUGGGCGACAUGGCUCAAGAUUUUGUGUGACACUUUCAGUACAACAUAGACAUUGUCCCAGACCGCUCCUCCCUAUCUCAGAUAAAAAAGAAACCCAAGGAAAGUUUUAGGGACUUUUGGCUCAGAUUGAACGAACAAGUUUCUCGGGACUGUCCUCCCAUUGAUAGAAAAGAUGUUGCUGAGCUCCGCCAAUGACAGGAUCCAGUGGGCAUUCUUGCUAAACACGUUCAGCCUCAAUAUUGACCCCCGCAAAUGUCCAUGCCAUCCUCCCCACUACUACUUCUCUCCGCAGAACCCCAAUAUCGUACAUCACUUUCCCGACACCCCAUCCCCAAUGCACCACCAUAUGCUCCACAUCCACGAGGCCCGCAAUGGCCUGCACCACGUCCACAAAUGUCUUAUCCUCCCCCAUGAGCCUACUGAAACUCUUCUGGAUCAGGUUUUUGGCCCAAUCAAGCAUUCAAGAAUGAGAGUUUGCAGAGAAAGAAAACAUUCGCUCCAUUGGGAGAGUCAUAUGUCAGUCUGUUCCAGAGCCUAAGGAAAUUGGACAUGUUGAAUCCGAUUUAGAUAAAAAUGUGAAACCCUCUUCCGAAGAAGUUUUUUUUCUUAAAGGUGCGCAUAUUGCUCAGAUGCCCUGGGGCAUGACAUAGAGAAGUGUUGGCAUCUGAAGGGAGCAAUCCAGAAGCUUAUGUAGGUGACAUUACCGUGCAAAAUCCAAAUGCAGCAGAUACUAGCCAAAGUCCAUUGCCUGUUCACAAUGAUAUGCAUAUGGAGGACAUGAUUUGUGUGGAAGAGGAACAUAAGAACUAUUCUGAGAUCCUCAGAGGUCCACAUGCUACGAAGCUUUCAGCGCUAUCAGAGGUUGAUCCUAAGAACGAGCAGGCAAAGGGAACCCAAAAGCAAUUUGUUAAGAACAAUCUCAUGGAGACUUGUGAAGGUCUUCGUAUUGUUGAUGCAGAAGUCAGUGGAUAAGAUGUUGAGUUUGAUGAUUGGAAAGACGCUCUUUUCUUGGUUAGCCAUAGAGGAGUUUUUGGUGGUUUUUUUUGUUAUCAUUUUUAUUAUUUGGGCUAUUUCAGGGUUGUAAUCCAGAAAUUAUCUUGUGACUCAAACCCUUCUAUUCUUUUAUUUUACCUAGUCUGUUUAGUCAUAAUAGCCCAUUUAGUGUUGUCUAAGUUUGUUCUAGGUUUGUAACCCCAGUUUAGUUUGUUUGUUUUGUUGUCCAAACCCUUUCACCAUCUAUCUAAUGCAAUUUUCUAUUUUUUUGUAAUUUCUAGUCAUUUUCGUUUAGUUCUCUUUUCUUUUUAUAGUUCUUUUCCUCUUGACUAGUGACAUGACAUGCACACGUAAUUCUCAGCCUAGUUUUAAAAGUUAGUUCAGUCACGAAGCAAUGAAAUAAUGUAGAAUAUGUACUUUAAUUUCUAUUCAUUUUCGUUUAGUUCUCUUUUCUUUUAUAGUUCUUUUCUUGUUGACUCUAGUGAUAUGACAUGCGCGUUUCUCAGCCUUGUUUUAAGAGUCAGUUUAGUCAUGAAGCAAUGAAACAAUUUUGAAGAUGCAAGGAUAUUUAAGGGAAAUAAGUGAAGGCAUUUUGAGAUCACUUCAAGCCCGAAUUGUGUGAAACUGGGGCAGAUAGAACAUAAAGAAAUACUAUUGAAAUGCAUCAUGCCGCAUCAGGUUGAAGCAAUUUUUCCCAAAUUGGCAGGGGCUGUUCGUGGUAAUGAGCGUGAGAGUGUUGUCCAAUGGUGCUUUAAAAUUGACAAAUUUAGAAGGCAGAUGUAUGGAUAUGGUUAUCAAGUGUGGUACAAUCAAAAGAUGUUACGAAUGUUUUCCUUGGUUGGUUUAAUUGUGUUGCUUGUACUUGGCAUGUUUUGAAGAUUUGAAUGACGAAAGCAUUUUGUUAUGCUAUCUAAACACUUUAUCCUUCGUUGCCCCUUUAAGCCUUAUUUAUUUUCUUUCGUACCCCUCUUUUGGAAUCAAUAGCAAAGACCAGAAACGCAAGUGCAAAAGAUAAGCAAAGGAAAAGAGAAAAGAAAAAGAAUGAAAAGAGAGAGAAGAAAAAGGAAGAAGAAAAGGGGAAAAAAAGAAGAAAAAGAGAAUAAAAGAAAAAUAAAAAAACAACAAAAUAACAAAAGGAGAAAAGGAAGAAAGAAAAGAAAAGCAGAGAAAAGAGGAAGAAAAAGAAAAGAAAAAUCACAACAACAACAACAACAAAGUGCACUGUAUGGCGACAGGAGCUGAGAGAAAUAAAAAAUGAGAGAGUCUUAUUGGUGAAAACCCUUACGGGCACCAUGAGACGAUGGUGAGUUGAGGAAAAAAACAAAAUGAGAGAGGCUUGAUAAUGAAAAACCCUUCUGGCACCACAAGUCGAAUAAGGAUUUUGAAUUAGAUUGGAUAAUCGGAGCAUUGAAGCCUAGUUUCAUGGUUUAGGGGGUAUAAUAAGAGUUGAACAUCAUACUUGCUUGACAGGAUAGGCCACAUGUGCAUGUCAUGGCCAUUAGAGUUGGUAUCCAAAUCUGAUUGGUUUUUUACUUUGUAAUUUUCUUGUUAGGAAUCUUCUCUUUCCUUUGUCCUUUACUCUAUUCCUUUUGUCUUGUUUGCUUUCUCUCCCUGAGUUUGUUUGGUCGGAACAAGGUAGAAAUGACUUCAAAAUUUUCCAUCAGCUUUCCAAUUGCAAAAAACAAGAUCUGGCUAGUAUAUCCAAGUAUCAUAAGUCAGGAAAGAACAACAAGCGCACUGAGUUGGUAAUAAUCAACAUGCUUUGGGAUCCAUGUGAAAUACAAAGGUUUGGUACAUAUCAAUUAAUGAGCAAUGCAACAGAUGGAAGGUGUCCGGUGAAUGCAUCAAAGGUAUUUUCGGUGAAUACAAAGGUUCGGUAAAUGUCAGGUCAUGAGCAAUGCAACAGAUGGAGGGUUAGGGUGAAAGAACCAAAGGUAUCAAUUCAUGAGCAAUGCAACAGAUGGAGGGUGUCAGGUGACAGAUCAAAGGUAUUUUCGAUGAAAUACAAAGGUUUGGUUAAUGUCAGGUCAUGAGCAAUGCAGCAGAUAGGGGUAUUGGGUCCGAAUGGAGAAGAGGUAUCCUAUGUGAUAAUAAUGACAGAAAAAGUGGUUAGUCAAAAAGUAGCAACGUCUUCGAGUGGAAAUCAAAGCGAUCAUGAGAAGUGAAGGAGCAGUCACCCUCAAAGUCAAGGCCACAAACCAACCACCAUAGUUUCAAACUACCAAAUUUUUUUUUUCUUUGGUUGAAACAGGGGCAGGAAGUUCUGGUUGUUUUGAAGAAACCCUCCAUAGGGGGAAAGCAAGCACCAGACAGUUAUGACCGUAAAAUUUCAGGACCCUCCUAAAAAAUGGGACCUAGUUUAAAAUUCAAAACAAUCAUGAGUAGCAUCAGCAAGCAUAAAUGUACCCCCAAAGACAUAUAAGUUGGUUUCGAGGUUUUCAUUCUUGAGAUAGGAUUUAAUUAGAAGUUUUCAGGACCUUACUGGAAAAUGGGACCUACUUUUAAAAAAUGAGUAGCAAAACUUAGCAUAAAUAUAUCCCAAAGGAAUAUAAGUCGGUUUCAAAGUUUGCAUGUUUAAGAUAGGAUUCAAUUAGGGGUUUUCAGGACCCUCCUGAAUAAUAGAACUUAGCUUUAAGAUUUCUAUUAGAUAACAAGAUGUAGCGUAAGUUCUGUUGUAGGGUAGUAUAAUUCUGUUGUAAAAUUGUCAUUCUUAGGAUAAGACUUGAUUUUCAGGACCCUCCUGAAAAAUGGGACCUAUUUUAAUAUUUAAAACAAUCAUGAGUAGCAUCAGCUAGAAUAAAUGUACCCCCAAAGGUAUAUAAGUUGGUUUCGAGGUUUUCAUUCUUGAGAUAGGAUUUAAUUCGAAGUUUUCAGGACCUCCUGGAAAAUGGGACCUACUUUUAAAAAAUGAGUAGCAAAAUUUAGCAUAAAUGUACCCUAAAGGAAUAUAAGUCGGUGUCAAAGUUUGCAUGUUUAAGAUAGGAUUCAAUCAGGAGUUUGCAGGACCCUUCUGAAUAAUUAGACUUAGCUUUAAGACUUCUAUUAGAUAACACGAUAUAGCAUAAGUUCUGUUGUAGGGUAGUAUAAUUCAGUCGUAAAAUUGUCACUCUUAGGAUAAAACUUGAUUUUCAGGACCCUCCUAGAAAAUGAGACCUAGUUUUAGAAAUGAGUAGCAAAAUCUUGCAUAAAUAUACCCCAAAGAAAUAUAAGCCGAUUUCAAAGUUUGGAUGUUUAAGAUAGGAUUCAAUUAGGAGUUUUCAGGACCCUCCUAAAUAAUGGGAUCUAGCUUUAAUAUUUUCAUUAGAUAACAAUAUUGUGCGUAAGUUCUAUUGUGGGGUAGUAUAAUUCAGCCAUAAAGAAUUGUCACUCUUAGGAUGAAAUUUGACUUUGGAUUUUCAGGACCCUCCUGGAUAAUGGGAUGUAGCUUUCAUAUUUUCUAAGAUAACAAGAUAUAGCGAAAGUCACACCUUUAGAAAAUAUAAAUUAGAUUUUAAAUUGUCAUUUAAUUAAAAAUUAUCAGGACCUCCUGGAUAAUAGGAUUUAGCUUUCAAAUUCUUAGAGAUAUUUGGUAAACAUGAUUUAAUUAAAACUCACAGAUGCACCAGCACCAAACUGGGGCAGGAAAAUUACUUUUGUUUUGUUUGGUUUUGUUUCAAUCGAAAUCAAGGGAAAGCAAUGGAAAAGGAAUAUAGUUUUUAGCAGUCAGGAUCCCACCUGGAAAAUAUAGGAAUACAAGUCGAAUUUGGAAAUCAGGAGCCCACCUGGAGAACAAGGGAACAUAGUUCAAGUUUUGGUAACCAGACGCCCACCUGGAGAACAAGGGAAGACAAUUUAAAUUUCAAGGAAAAGUAGUUCAAAUUCAACCAUCAUCCCCCCCUAAAGAACAAGGGGAAGCAAUUCAAUGUUCAAGUAAACACAGUUCAAGUUCAGCAAUCAGGCGCUCACCUGGAGAACAAGGAAAUACAGUAUAAGUUUCAAGGAAUAUAUUUCAAGUCUAGUAAUCAGGCAUCCACUUGGAGAACGAGGGAAUAUAAUUCAAGUUUUGGAAAUCAGGCGCCCACAUAGAGAAUAAGGGAAUAUAAUUCAAGUAUUGGAAAUCAGGCGCCCACCUUGAGAACAAUGGAACAUAAUUCGAGUUUUGGCAGUUAGGCACCCACCUGGAGAACAAGGGAGCACAAUUCGAGUUUUGGAAGUCAGGAACCCACCUGGAGAACGAGGGAAUAUAAUUCGAGUUUUGGUAAUCAGGCACCCACCUGGAGAACAAGGGAAUACAAUUCAAGUUUUGGUAAUCAGGCACCCACCUGGAGAGCGAAGGAAUACAAUUCAAGUCUUGGUAAUCAAGCACCCACCUAUAAAACAAGGGAAUAAAAUUCAAGUUUUGGUAAUCAAGCACCCACCUGGAGAACAAGGGAAUACAAUUCAUGUUUUGGUAAUCAAGCACCCACCUGGAGAACAAGAGAAUACAAUUCAAGUUUUGAAAAUCAGGCACCUACCUGUAGAAUAAGGGAAUACAGUUCAACAUUUGGAAAUCAGAAACCCAGCUGGAGAACAAAGGAAUAUAGUUCAAGUUUUGGUAAUCAGACACCCACCUGGAGAACAAGGGAAUACAGUUUAAGUUUUGGUAAUCAGGCACCCAACAGGAGAACAAUGGAAUAUAGUUCAAGUUUUUGCAAUCAGGCGCCCACCUGGAGAACAAGGGAAUACAGUUCGAGUUUUUGGCAAUCAGGCGCCCACCUAGAGAACAAGGGAGGACAGUUCCAGUUUUUGGCGAUCAGGCGCCCACCUGGAGAACAAGGGAACACAAUUUGAGUUUUUGGCAAUCAGGCAUCAACCUGGAGAAUGAAGGAAUACAGUUCGAGUUUUUGGCAAUCAGGUGACUACCUGGAGAACAAGGGAAUACAAUUCAAGUUUUUGGCAAUCAGACGCGCACCUACAAAACAAGGGAAUACAGUUCAACUCUUUGGCAAUUAGGCGCCCACCUGGAGAACAAGGGAAUAUAGUUCAAGUUUUUGGCAAUCAGACGUCACCUGGAGAUGAGGGAAUAUAAUUCAAGUUUGGUAAUCAGGAACUCACCUAGAAAACAAGGGAAUACAAUUUAAGUUUGGUAAUCAGGCACACACCUGUAGAACAAGGGAACACAAUUCGAGUUUCGGCAGUCAGGCACCCACCAGGAAAACAAGGAAAUAUAAUUUGAGUUUUGGUAAUUAGGCACCCACCUGGAUAACGAGGGAAUGUAAUUCAUGUUUGGUAAUCAGGAACCCACCUGGAGAACGAGGGAAUAUAAUUCGAGUUUUGGUAAUCAGGUACUCGCCUGGAGAACGAGGGAAUAUAAUUCAAGUUUAAUAAUCAGGCAGCCACCUGGAGAACAGGGAAUACAAUUCAAGUUUGGUAAUCAGGCACCCACCUGGAGAACAAGGGAAUACAAUUCAAGUUUUAGUAAUCAGGCACCCACCUGGAGAACAAGAGAAUACAAUUCAAGUUUUAGUAAUCAAGAACCAACCUGGAGAAUAAGGGAAUACAAUUCGAGUUUUGGGAAUCAGGCGCCCACUUGGAGAAAAAGGGAAUACACUUCAAGUUUUUAGCAAUCAGGCAUGCACCUGGAUAACAACGAAAUACAGUUCAAUUUUUUUCAAUCAGGCACCAGGAGAACAGGGGAAUACAAUUCGAGUUUUUGGCAAUCAGGCGCCCACCUGGAGAACAAGGGAAUAGACCUCAAGUUUUGGCAAUCAGGUUCCCACAUGGAGAACAAGGGAAUAUGGUUUAAGUUUUUUGCAAUCAGGCGCCCACCUGGAGAACAAGGGAAUAUAGUUCAAGUUUUUGGCAAUCAGGCGCCUGCAUGGAGAACAAGGAAAUACAAUUAAAGUUUUUGGCAAUCAGGUGCUCGCCUGGAGAACAAGGGAAUGCAAUUCAAGUUUUGGCAAUCAGGCGCCCACUUGGAGAACAAGGGACACUGUUCAAGUUUUUGGCAAUUAGGUGCCCACCUAGAGUAUAAGGGAAUACAGUUCAAGGUUUGGCAAUCAGGUGCCCACCUGGAGAACAAGAGAAUACAGUUCAAGUUUUUGGCAAUCAGACGUCCACUUUGAGAACAAGGAAUACAGUUCAAGUUUUUGGAAAUUCACGCGCCCACCUGGAUAACAAGGGAAUAUAGUUCAAGUUUUAGCAAUCAAGCGCCCACCUAGAGAAAAAGGGAAUACAGUUUAACUUUUUGGCAAUCAGGCGCCCACGUGGAUAACAAUGGAAUACAGUUCAGUUUUUUGGCAAUCAGGUUCCAACCUGGAGAACAAAGGAACACAGUUCGAGUUUUUGGUAAUCAGGCGCCCACAUGGAGAACAAAAGAAUACAGUUUAAGUUUUUGGCAAUCAAGCGCCCACCUGGAGAACAAGGGAACGUAGCUCAUGUUUUUGGCAAUCUGGAACCCGCCUGGAGAACAAGGGAAUACAGUUCAAAUGUUGUCAAUUAGGCGCCACAUGGAGAAUAAGGGAAUUCACUUCAUAUACAAUUCAAGUUAGCAACAAAAGAAGCUCGUGGCAAGAAUGUGAGUCAACAGUCCGAAGUGAUCAACAAAAGUUAGUCACAACAAGAAAAAGGAGAAAAAGGCAAAAAGUUAAUCCAAAUACAGAAGUUGAUGAAAGAUGUGGGUUGCUCAAGACAUAGCCGAAGUCACAAGCAUGGUGCGUCCGGUCCUGAUCCGAAAAGCUGAAGAAUGAUGAACUAGUACCUGCAACUAGCAAGUAUCAAGGUUCAAAUCUAAAGUUUGCAUGAAGAACCACUCAAGACUCAAGAUCAAGCUUCAGAAGACUCAUAGAUAGGAAUCUUAUAACUCGUAGUUCAUAGGCUUAGUUAGUCUUUUUUAUUUUUUUAUUUUUGAUGUAAUAACAGGACCGCAGACUGGAACCUCGGCGGAACAGCACCUCGACUGGCUCUCCACCUCAGUAUACUCCAUCCUCUCACUCAACUCUGAACUACACGUGGCCCGAUUCCUUUAUUGCCAAGGAUAUGUAGGCAGCUCAGACACCAGAGCUCAGUCACAUUCCCUUUUCUCUUAGUAUUAGUUUCUCUAAAUAAGGGUCAAGUCAAAAACUUGUAUAGUAGUUCUUAGUCUGAAAACAUUCCGUGUUUCCAGUCAAAGAGGAGCAGCUGCAGACAUGUGAUUUUUGACCCUCUUAGGCCUACUAUAGCUAUUUCAACUCAUUUUGACUCUUUACUUUAUUUUAUUACAAGAAAAAUAAAAAUUACAAAAUAUUUUAGUUGAUGUAUUUUUCAUAAAUUUAAAAAAAUAAACAAAAAUAGUACCUUAUUUUUAUAUUUAUAUAAUUUCGAAAAUACAAAAAUAGUUUCAUAUUUAGUUUAAUUAAUUAGGAAGAUCUUUGGUGUUGUGUAGUAUUUCUAUCUUAUUUUAAAAGGCAUUGUGUAGUCUAGGGAUCCUCUAAACUCUUAUUUGGAAUAAAAAUAAAUAAAAAGAUCCUAAGGACCUAAUACACAAAAAACCUAGGGACUAAUGAGCGAAAAACACAAAAUAUAUUCCUACACCCUACACCUAUAAAAGCCAAGACUAUCAGCUGCAGUAGAAAAAAAUGUCCCCCCCCCCCCCCCCCCCNNNNNNNNNNNNNNNNNNNNNNNNNNNNNNNNNNNNNNNNNNNNNNNNNNNNNNNNNNNNNNNNNNNNNNNNNNNNNNNNNNNNNNNNNNNNNNNNNNNNNNNNNNNNNNNNNNNNNNNNNNNNNNNNNNNNNNNNNNNNNNNNNNNNNNNNNNNNNNNNNNNNNNNNNNNNNNNNNNNNNNNNNNNNNNNNAGAUGAUAGGCUUAGCUAGUCUUUUUCAUGUUUUGAUUUUUGAUGUAAUAACAGGACUGUAGACUGAAAACUCGGCGGUACAGCACCUCGACCG